UACGUAGGGUGCAAGCGUUAAUCGGAAUUACUGGGCGUAAAGCGUGCGCAGGCGGUUAUGCAAGACAGAUGUGAAAUCCCCGGGCUCAACCUGGGAACUGCCUUUGUGACUGCAAGGCUUGAGUGCGGCAGAGGGGGAUGGAAUUCCGCGUGUAGCAGUGAAAUGCGUAGAUAUGCGGAGGAACACCGAUGGCGAAGGCAAUCCCCUGGGCCUGCACUGACGCUCAUGCACGAAAGCGUGGGGAGCAAACAGG
RNAcentral lists this ribosomal RNA (253 nucleotides) under uncultured bacterium. Its description in RNAcentral is "partial 16S ribosomal RNA". It matches the Rfam family "Bacterial small subunit ribosomal RNA", at positions 524 to 776 of the family's 1533-position model. The record is from RNAcentral.